AUUGAACGCUGGCGGCAUGCCUAACACAUGCAAGUCGAACGCGAAAUCACCUUCGGGUGAAAGUAGAGUGGCGGACGGGUGAGUAACGCGUGGGAAUCUGCCUAGUAGUGGGGGGACAACUCGGGGAAACUCGAGCUAAUACCGCAUACGCCCUACGGGGGAAAGGCUUCGGCCGCUAUUAGAUGAGCCCGCGUCAGAUUAGCUUGUUGGUAGGGUAAUGGCCUACCAAGGCGACGAUCUGUAGCUGGUCUGAGAGGACGAACAGCCACACUGGGACUGAGACACGGCCCAG
RNAcentral lists this ribosomal RNA (292 nucleotides) under uncultured bacterium. RNAcentral describes it as "partial 16S ribosomal RNA". It matches the Rfam family "Bacterial small subunit ribosomal RNA", at positions 30 to 334 of the family's 1533-position model. The record is from RNAcentral.